CAGCGACAACGGCCUUUAUUGGGAUAAACCACCGCACACCGUCCGGAAAGCCGGCUCCCGCCGCCCGCCCGCGGGGCAGGUAACAACACAGCCAGGGUUUCAGUGGCUUUUAUUUAAUACCCAGAAAUCCAAAGUAAACACCGCUUAAAACAAAUCAAGGACACGAAGAUACCGGCACACAAAUUGGACAAGAGAAUUUGGCUGCUUUAAAACAACACAGCUCUUGUGUCACGUCCAGUUAGGACCUCAGGGCACCUGGGGCUCUGGGCUCAGCACUUCGUGAUGCCGUGUUCGAGGGGGAACCAGAGCUGCAAGCAGGCGCCCCAAAACCAGGGGAGGGGAGGGCGUUCAAAAGACAGGCCACCUGAACAGUAAGAGGAGGCAUGUCAUGACCUUUACCCAUCACUGCAUGGCUACCGAUGACCUUGUUUCACUUAGUUCCUAUGGAUGAAGGUCCCUCUUCGGGGCAAAGGUGGGGAGGUCAUUCACUACAAAUGGGAAUCAGUGGAGCAGGACGGGUUCUAGAACUUUCCCGAGUUAAGGACUAAGAGGGAAGCUUUGCAUUCCAAGGAACUCCCAGCAAGUGUCAGAACAAAGUUGCUUCUGUUGCCCCAGUUACCCCAGAAGAUGCUGCAGCGUGUGGGCCUCCGCAGCGGGGAGGUCCCGGGCCCUGACACUCGUGUCCUGACAGCUGUUGUCCCCAAGCCACCAGGAACGAUGGGCGGAUCCCAAGAGGAGGAAUCUAGCCACUGCAGAGGUCACCCUGGCUUCGGCCUCAAAACUGCUUCCCAGCCCUCACCCCACAUGCGCUUUCAAUUCUGGUUCCGUCCAGACAGCAAAGGGAGGAAAGUGACGCGGACGGCCCGAGGGGUCCUGCACAGGUGGGCAGAAGGCACACCCACGCCUUCGCGCCAGUUUGAGAAAAAGUAAUUUGGAGACCAGGGCUUUAAAGAGUCAGCAUUAUGAGAUAAAAGUGCCUGUCUAUAGUUUUCCCAUAUAUUUAUCAUUCCUGUUACUCUCCUGCUUGAAACACAAGUGGGCUUGAAGUGGGCUCACUGCCCUGGGAGCUGAACCCCACCACCACCUCCCUCCCUAGAAGAAUCAACGCCCCUCACCCCAACCUUCAGGACGUGGAACAGGCCGGGGGAGCUGCCCACCUGGGCUGAAGACCCCAGGCUGCUUUCCAAACCCAGGCC
This is a long non-coding RNA of Bos taurus (domestic cattle), 1196 nucleotides long. The record is from Ensembl. NCBI's taxonomy places the organism in Eukaryota, Metazoa, Chordata, Mammalia, Artiodactyla, Bovidae.